ACGGGAAUGUACCGAGAUCCUGCGGCGUAAGCGUCUGUAGGUGGUUUAGUAAGUCAACUGUUAAAUCUUGAGGCUCAACUUCAAAAUCGCAGUCGAAACUAUUAGACUAGAGUAUAGUAGGGGUAAAGGGAAUUUCCAGUGGAGCGGUGAAAUGCGUAGAGAUUGGAAAGAACACCGAUGGCGAAGGCACUUUACUGGGCUAUUACUAACACUCAGAGACGAAAGCUAGGGUAGCAAAUGGGAUUAGAUACCCCAGUAGUCCUAGCUGUAAACAAUGGAUACUAGAUGUUGAACAGAUCGACCUGUGCAGUAUCAAAGCUAACGCGUUAAGUAUCCCGCCUGGGAAGUAUGCUCGCAAGAGUGAAACUCAAAGAAAUUGACGGGAGGGA
Molecule: ribosomal RNA, 389 nt
Filed under: uncultured bacterium
Lineage: Bacteria
Description: bacterial SSU rRNA
Rfam family: Bacterial small subunit ribosomal RNA
Source: RNAcentral